UUCAGGUGAUACCUUGGGCAAUGAGA
RNAcentral lists this non-coding RNA (26 nucleotides) under Homo sapiens (human). The record is from RNAcentral. Lineage: Eukaryota; Metazoa; Chordata; Mammalia; Primates; Hominidae.